GAAAAACAGUCCGAUUUGCAAAAACCCCUCGAAAGCCUAAAACCCUUCAGCCCCAAAACACAAAAACCCUCCAAAAUCUUCCACCAAAAAUGUCCGCCGCCAGGUCCGUCCUCCGUUCCGCUGCCACCCGAGCGACCGCGGCCGCGAGACUCGCCGGUGCAACCAAGUCCAUGCCACGACCCGCUUGCUCGCCCUUUCGGAUCUCUAAGCAAAACUCGUUUCCUGCUCGCAUUUUCAGGUCACCGGUGGAGAUGAGCUGCUGUGUGGAAACGCUGCUACCUUAUCACACAGCCACUGCUUCGGCUUUGUUGACUUCCAUGCUUUCUGUUUCUCGCCGGAGAUCCAAUUGGACCGCUGAAGAUUGCAAUGAUGAUGUAUGAUGAAUAUCGGAGAGUUCGGGCAGAGGUUUUGAUAAAUGCACUCUUAAGACAAGAUGGAUGAUUGUGGUUGGGAUGCGGAGCUAUUCAUCUCCGUGAAAAAUUCCGAUCAACCUCGUAGGACUUGAUGCAUUGUAUUCUUCUUGGACGAAUCUGAAAUAUCUGAUGUUAUUACCCAACAUUUGUUCUGUGAGCAUCUGGAAGUAGGUAUCAGAUAAAAACAUACAUUCAAUUUUCCUGUUCUUAUAAGUUCAAAAAAUAUAUCAUCACCAGGUUUAAUGUCUCUUCUUCCUUGAAUAAUUAAAGCUCUUUAAUAUCA
RNA transcript from Gossypium raimondii (Peruvian cotton), 696 nucleotides. It is a transcript of the gene named protein NUCLEAR FUSION DEFECTIVE 6, mitochondrial, with no coding region annotated. Lineage: Eukaryota; Viridiplantae; Streptophyta; Magnoliopsida; Malvales; Malvaceae. The transcript has 4 exons. The record is from RefSeq and is a predicted model, not a curated record.